RNAcentral lists this long non-coding RNA (1700 nucleotides) under Homo sapiens (human). Its description in RNAcentral is "HSALNT0302641". The record is from RNAcentral. Lineage: Eukaryota; Metazoa; Chordata; Mammalia; Primates; Hominidae.
UUAGCGUGAUUGUGGUAAUCAUUUCACAACAUAUACAUAUAUUUAAACAUCACAUUGUACACUUUAAACAUAUACAGUUUUUCUCAAUUAAACCCCACUAAAGCUGAAAAAAGAUGACGAUGUUGACGACAAUAUAUUGGUCUUCUGUAUAUAUAGCAGAAUUUUAGAAUGCGUAUCUUUCCUGUUUUUUUAAUUUCUUUCAAUUUAAAGGCAAUAAUUCAAUUUUUGAUGGAUCAGCUAUCCUUAGAAGAGUGAAUUGUCAGGACUUUGUUAGGAUCCAAAUCCACUCAACUUAUCUAAAUCCCCUCAAACACAAGUAGCCUUAGGAAAACCUAAAGUUUGAGCUAAUUGGGUUGUAUUGUAUAUAAGAAAUUCAGAUGAGGUAUUGAAAACAAGAUUUUAGAGUUUACAGAGGAUACUAAAACUAGAGGCUGAGCAAAUAACGAGGAACAAAACAAUCAGACUCAAAAGGAUUUGGAUUGUAUAAGUAAUUGGAUCAGCAGAUGGCAAAUGCAGUUCAGUACAGGAAAAUGUAAAAUAGACUUGAAGCGAAAGAAACAAACUAGAGAAUAUGUGCUAAAUGAAAUAAUCAUCCAGAAUGCUGACCAGGAAAUGGAAAGGAGGGGCUAUUAUAAAACAUAAAUCAUAGCAACUCCUAGCUUAUGGCUAAUUCUGUUGUUUUAGAAUCCUAACAAAAAAAAUGUGCACACAUAUCAUCUUUACUGGGAACUUACUGUUCCCUAUGGGAACUAGCAGUUGCUUCAAAUUGCAAUCAUUUCACUCAGUUUUGUAGAGGCACCUUUCAAAAUUUUUUUAAGGUGUUACUUUUUUGAGUGCAGAUUUUUCUCCUCUUUGUUUAAGCUUAUGCUCAUUAUUAUAUAAUUAACCUUUUCAGACAUUGCUGGGAAAAUUCAGAACAAUGUUUUCAGGAUAUUUUACUAAUUACCCUAUAAUUCACCUUGUCAGACAAUCCCCAGGAGGAUCCACACAAGGCUAUCACUCCCCAUUUGUCCUAUUCUCUGAAGAUAUAGUAUACAUUUUGCAAGGGUGGGAGAUCAACUGUUUGGUGAGGCAAAGCUAUAGGCAGUGGAUUAAAAAUGUGUGUGUGUGUGAGUGUGUGUGUGUGUGUGUGUGUGUGCGCGCUUAAGAAUUACCUGGGCAGGUACUUUUAAAAUGGAAUUACUUAGAUGCCUUCUCCAGAGGUUGACACGGUACAACUGAGAAGGGGCCUCGCAAGUGGCAUCCCUAAUAAGCACCCUUGAUGAUUCUGAUGUAGGCCAUCUUUGGGAGACAUUUUGAAAAAUACCAAGUAGCUAGCAAGAAAAAAGCAGAAAGAACACCAAGUCCUAGUCCCUGCUCAUCUAACUGGCUGAUUAAUUCGUUAACAGUCACACCACUCAGGCCUCAUGUUCUUCAUCUGGAAAAUGAGUUCAGUAUCUGUCCAUCAUACCUGACAGAGGAGCAAAUGAAAUAACAUCUAGAAUCUUCUUGCAUACAAAUAUAAAUGAAGAUGAAUAUAUUAGGACUCAGAGAUAUUGAGAUCUCAGGUCACUCUAUGAAAGACUCGUCUUCAAUUUGGGUCAUCUGAAUUUAUAGCCUGACCUCCUUUUAUUUAUACCACAAGCACCCAUUAUAAAAGCAGAAAAGGAAGAACUGGAGGCUGGAGUGCAAUGGCACGAUCUCAGCUCACCGCAACCUCA